AGUGAACGCUGGCGGUAGGCCUAACACAUGCAAGUCGAACGGCAGCACAGUAAGAGCUUGCUCUUACGGGUGGCGAGUGGCGGACGGGUGAGGAAUACAUCGGAAUCUACUUUUUCGUGGGGGAUAACGUAGGGAAACUUACGCUAAUACCGCAUACGACCUACGGGUGAAAGCAGGGGAUCUUCGGACCUUGCGCGAUUGAAUGAGCCGAUGUCGGAUUAGCUAGUUGGCGGGGUAAAGGCCCACCAAGGCGACGAUCCGUAGCUGGUCUGAGAGGAUGAUCCACUACACUGGAAGUGAGACACGUUCGAGACACCUACGGUAGGCAGCAGUGGGGAAUAUUGCACAAUGGGGGAGAGCCUGAUCCAGCCAUACCGCGUAGGUGAAGAAGGCGUUAGGGUGGGAGAGUCAUUUUGUUGGGAAAGAAAAGCAGCAGUUUAAUCCCCCGCUGUUCUGACGGUACCCAAAGAAUAAGCACCGGCUAACUUCGUG
RNAcentral lists this ribosomal RNA (492 nucleotides) under uncultured bacterium. RNAcentral describes it as "partial 16S ribosomal RNA". It matches the Rfam family "Bacterial small subunit ribosomal RNA", at positions 29 to 507 of the family's 1533-position model. The record is from RNAcentral.